AUUGAACGCUGGCGGCAGGCCUAACACAUGCAAGUCGAGCGGAUGAAGGGAGCUUGCUCCUGGAUUCAGCGGCGGACGGGUGAGUAAUGCCUAGGAAUCUGCCUGGUAGUGGGGGAUAACGUCCGGAAACGGGCGCUAAUACCGCAUACGUCCUGAGGGAGAAAGUGGGGGAUCUUCGGACCUCACGCUAUCAGAUGAGCCUAGGUCGGAUUAGCUAGUUGGUGGGGUAAAGGCCUACCAAGGCGACGAUCCGUAACUGGUCUGAGAGGAUGAUCAGUCACACUGGAACUGAGACACGGUCCAGACUCCUACGGGAGGCAGCAGUGGGGAAUAUUGGACAAUGGGCGAAAGCCUGAUCCAGCCACGCCGCGUGUGUGAAGAAGGCCUUCGGAUUGUAAAGCACUUUAAGUUGGGAGGAAGGGCAGUAAGUUAAUACCUUGCUGUUUUGACGUUACCAACAGAAUAAGCACCGGCUAACUUCGUG
Molecule: ribosomal RNA, 484 nt
Filed under: uncultured bacterium
Lineage: Bacteria
Description: partial 16S ribosomal RNA
Rfam family: Bacterial small subunit ribosomal RNA
Source: RNAcentral